Pogoniulus pusillus (Red-fronted tinkerbird) is the source of this 1288-nucleotide long non-coding RNA. RefSeq lists it as uncharacterized. The transcript has 5 exons. The record is from RefSeq and is a predicted model, not a curated record. NCBI's taxonomy places the organism in Eukaryota, Metazoa, Chordata, Aves, Piciformes, Lybiidae.
GCGGGGUGGGGCGCAGGGGACAGAGCCACUCUGAAGGCUGCCCGGGGGGCGUCUGGGCCCCGGAGGUGAAGAGUGCCAGGUACCUGUGGCAGGAGCUGCCUGUGCGCAUCGCCCACUGCAUCCGUGGCUUCCGCAGCCUGCCCUUCAUCAUCGGCUGCAACCCCACCAUGCUGCACCUGCUGCCAAAAAGGAGACCUUCUUCAAUUUCUUAAUUGCUCCUCCUGUGCAAGCUCUUCUGUCUGUCUGCUGAGAUGUUUCUGCCUGUUCAUCUGGCAGAGAAGUGUUUGCUUUUUUGGCUGGCGAGCUGACCAUCCGUACUACCGUCGUCUUGAAUGCCUCCAACCAGCACUGUUUGCUGCCAGACAGACACCUGGAGAAGACAGAGGACAUGGUUAAGUUCAUGAAGGAUAUCUUGGAUGGUGCUGCUGAAGCACAGGGUGGUGAUGGACUUCUGCAACGGAGCAAGAGAGUCAUCUAUGAGGCCAAGUCUGCUGUAAUGGUAGAGUUUAUUGCUUAUUCAGUGAGGUGAUGCUCUUGUCAGUCAAAAAAGACUUAGUUGCAGAGGCUUUAGAAAUACUUUGAUGUAAGCUUGUUGCUCUGCUGUGCCUAGUGUAUCUAUUGUCACUAUUUAUAACUAGGCUUAAACCAAAUGAACUUCUUGAUUAAAAUAGCCAAUAAUGUCUGCCAUAGUUCUAACUGUUCCACAUGCAUUAAUUUCACAUUUUUCACUCUGCUGUUAGUCUGACAUAAUUUAAGAGACAGAAUCAUGAAAAUCCAACAUCUUUUCCUUGAGCUUUUUGCCAUCGCUUCAGAGGUUCUUUUGUGUUCUGAGCAAUGUUUUGGUUUCAGUCUGUUCCAGUCCUCUGCCACCCUCACAGACAAGAAAUCUCUGCUCCUGUUGAGGUGGAACAGCUUCUGUCUGUUGUUACUUGGCCUAUUGCUGAGCACCACCAAAAGGCAGCUGGCACCUUGGUGCUGACACCUGCCCCUGGGAAAUGUAUAGACGUUAAUAAGAUCCCUUCUCUUCUCCAGACUAAACAGCCCCAGGCCUCUCACUCUUCUUUCCAGCCCCACUGUGUCCUGCCCCCUCCUCUCUUGCCCCUCCCCCCGUGUCCCGCCCCCUCCUCUCUUGCCCCUCCCACCGUGUCCCAGCCCCUCCUCUCCCCCUGUCCUCUCCCCCACUUCCACCUCCUCUCUUCGCCCCCCUCCACCUCCUCUCUUCCCCCCCCUCCACCUCCUCUCUUUUCCCACCCCUCCUCUCUUCACCCCCCCACCUCCUCUCUUUUCC